CAUCUCUUGUAAUUUGAUGAUUAGAGAUGUAUUAAGGAUGUUUAAAUGAAAGAAUGUAAAAGCUUAAGUUUUUGGAUCAAAACAUGUUAUGUAAUUUUGGGAGAUCAUGUGAUGAAUAAAAGAAAUGAUGAAAAGAAUGUAAAUGUAACAUGUGGUUUAAUGCAUGUAAGUGAUUGAAAGUUAAUCAUUAUACUUGUAUAUUGUUUAGUUUAGUA
RNAcentral lists this long non-coding RNA (215 nucleotides) under Ananas comosus (pineapple). RNAcentral describes it as "long non-coding RNA (ACOM_LNC043660)". The record is from RNAcentral. Lineage: Eukaryota; Viridiplantae; Streptophyta; Magnoliopsida; Poales; Bromeliaceae.